RNAcentral lists this non-coding RNA (29 nucleotides) under Mus musculus (house mouse). The record is from RNAcentral. Lineage: Eukaryota; Metazoa; Chordata; Mammalia; Rodentia; Muridae.
UGGGACAAUAAUCGGGGCCUCUGUUUUGC